UAUUACCAGAAAGAUCCAAAACCUUCAAGUUGGUGAGAUUUCCAAGCUGAUACGGAAUGGGUCCAUUCAAGUUAGUAGCAUAUGAAAGACGAAGGUCCUCUAAUUUGGUGAAGGAGGCAAUGAAGUCGGGAAUCGAACUAGAUACAAAAUUAUAACCAGAAAGAUCCAAAACCUUCAAGUUGGUGAGAUUUCCGAGCUGAUACGGAAUGGGUCCAUUCAAGUUAGCAUAUGAAAGACGAAGGUCCUCUAAUUUGGUGAAGGAGGCAAUGAAGUCGGGAAUCGAACUAGAUACAAAAUUAUUACCAGAAAGUUCCAAAACCUUCAAGUUGGAGAGAUUUCUGAGCUGAUACGGAAUGGGUCCAUUCAAGUUAGCAUAUGAAAGACGAAGGUCCUCUAAUUUGGUGAAGGAGGCAAUGAAGUCGGGAAUCGGAUUAGAUACAAAAUUAUUAUCAGAAAGAUCCAAAACCUUCAAGUUGGAGAGAUU
This 484-nucleotide long non-coding RNA is filed under the name Panax ginseng (ginseng). RNAcentral describes it as "long non-coding RNA (PGIN_LNC002236)". The record is from RNAcentral. Lineage: Eukaryota; Viridiplantae; Streptophyta; Magnoliopsida; Apiales; Araliaceae.